CCGAACUCCAAGGCAGGAAUGCCUCGCUUCCGUGCUGGUUCUGUCAGGCCCAGUUCACUGGGGAACUUUGCGGGGAGGGAGAUGAGUGCGUUUCCUGAAGGAGCGCUCCUUUCUCAAACAUACCCCUCUCCGGCUUCAGCCUUCGGGACUAAGUCUGAGCUUGUAAAUAAACCAUACCCAGUGCUUUAGCGGCAGUUGGAUGUAGCAGAGUAAAAAUAUUUUCUUCUAUUUCAAAUAAGAUUAGGAACUCAUCACGAAUAAAUUACACGUGCAUGUGGGACAGGUGUAUUAUGUUAAGAUGCCAGUCGAAAGAUAUGGAUAUUUCAAGUCGAAGCACAAAGAUAUUUUUCAUCUGGUAAGUGAUGAGCUUUGCUUUUUGCAGAACACUGUGGUCAGAGUAGACUUUUUAACAUUUUUAGAGCAAGUAUUUAAAAUAAAUACUUAUCAUAUUCAUGUUGCUAUUCUUCUUUUAAAAAUUUAUUUUAAGGGUAGGUGGAGAAUAAAGAGGAAAAACAUGGAACGCCAUUUAUGAAAUGACAUUCUCAUCCAAUUCCUCCAUCCCAAAUGAAUGAAGAUUUAUGGAGUAGAGACCUCUGCGGGGCAGGAGGUGGGACCAUCUGUAGAAGUGCUCAAGAGAGACCAGCUGAAGAGCCAAGGAUGAGCUGGAGAUCCACCGGCAAAUGGUCAGCAGCGAGACAGACGGAAGGCCUUUAUCAUCUCCAGGCCCUCUCCAAACACACAAAUCAAUAACAAUUAAAGCAGAUUAUGAAAAGGCAA
Molecule: long non-coding RNA, 777 nt
Filed under: Equus caballus (horse)
Lineage: Eukaryota; Metazoa; Chordata; Mammalia; Perissodactyla; Equidae
Description: lncRNA (ENSECAG00000029279.3)
Source: RNAcentral